RNAcentral lists this long non-coding RNA (325 nucleotides) under Carica papaya (papaya). RNAcentral describes it as "long non-coding RNA (CPAP_LNC007173)". The record is from RNAcentral. Lineage: Eukaryota; Viridiplantae; Streptophyta; Magnoliopsida; Brassicales; Caricaceae.
UCAAAAUGCACCAACUCUAAUAUAUUUUUUUGCUCUCCAUGACUUUCCUUGUGGAAAUUGAUUAUAGUGGUCCUUGGUAACAGCAUAUUCUUCACAAACUAGAGCGGAGUUUGAGGAACUUCUAGGUUAGAGAAUGCCUUCUUAUCUAUACACAUGUAGUUGUUGCAGCCAAUAUCUAAGUACCACAAGUUUUGUUAGAUUUCUUCAUUUACAUAAAACACCAGCGAAACAAGCAUCUUUUUUUGUGCAAAGUUAGUUCUUUCUCCAUUUUACCUAUUCAAAUUAGUUUGACAUUUUGACUGAAUACUAUACCUAUGACAUCUUU